Saccoglossus kowalevskii is the source of this 758-nucleotide long non-coding RNA. RefSeq lists it as uncharacterized. The record is from RefSeq and is a predicted model, not a curated record. Lineage: Eukaryota; Metazoa; Hemichordata; Enteropneusta; Harrimaniidae.
UAUACGUCGAAACACACACAUCGUCAUCAUCAUCCAGAAUGUACGGCCUUAAGAUUACAUUGGUAUUGUGUUUGCUCGUUGCUACCAUUUUACACACAAAUGCGAAGCCAGCACCUAGAGGGUUGAACAAGAUGCGUGAGACUGUGAAACGCCGCCCUUUCCGUCAAGGAAAGUAUCAUGGUAUAAAAUGGUUUGGUAUGUCUGAUAGCUCCAGUUCGUUAUAUGAACCCUCUGACAGCUACCAAAAUUCUGCCUCUUCAUCGUCGUCAUGGUAGUGAUUACAUGCCAAUUUAUUGCACACAAGUAAUACACUCUGCAAUUUAACAAGUUGACGGUAUAUCAGCUUUCUAUUUCUGAAUGUAUUUUACCUACUAUAGUAGUCUGAGAUUUUACUGAUCUUUCACCUGGUUUCAAGAAGAAAAUAACUGUUUUACGGAAUAACUGUUUUUGUACACCUGAGCUCUUUUGCAGUGUAACGAUCUCUGUCCGACUGUGUUCAAAACACAAAAUGAUUUCAUUACUUUCUUUUAAAGACAUGUAUCGAUUUAAGUUGGGCCAUCUUCGCUAUCAAUCGCCUAACUACUCUGGGCCAGGGUACUUGUAUGUUUACAUCGGAUUCGCAAAACCGUGUGACCCGGACAAUGAACUUAGGAACGAACGGUCACAAUCACAUAAACAUGUUUUCUGUCGUAAUUUUGAAAGUUUCAAUUCAUGUAUUACGUUACAGAAAAAUAAAGUAACUCAAUGCUGGUGUUAUA